GCGAUCAUACCAGCACUAAUGCACCGGAUCCCAUCAGAACUCCGAAGUUAAAUCUGUAACGCCCCGGCUCGGGCGGGCCCCACCCGAACCGAACCGGGAACGCUACCUGAAUUGCCC
RNAcentral lists this ribosomal RNA (117 nucleotides) under Zingiber officinale. The record is from RNAcentral. Lineage: Eukaryota; Viridiplantae; Streptophyta; Magnoliopsida; Zingiberales; Zingiberaceae.